GAUGAACGCUGGCGGCGUGCCUAAUACAUGCAAGUCGAGCGAACAGACGAGGAGCUUGCUCCUCUGACGUUAGCGGCGGGCGGGUGAGUAACACGUGGAUAACCUACCUAUAAGACUGGUAUAACUUCGGGAAAGCGGAGCUAAUACCGGAUAAUAUAUUGAACCGCAUGGUUCAAUAGUGAAAUACGGUUUUGCUGUCACUUAUAGAUGGAUCCGCGCCGCAUUAGCUAGUUGGUAAGUUAACGGCUUACCAAGGCAACGAUGCGUAGCCGACCUGAGAGGGUGAUCGGCCACACUGGAACUGAGACACGGUCCAGACUACUACGGGAGGCAGCAGUAGGGAAUCUUACGCAAUGGGCGAAAGCUUGACGGAGCAACGCCGCGUGAGUGAUGACGGUCUUCGGAUCGUAAAACUCUGUUAUUAGGGAAGAACAAAUGUGUAAGUAACUAUGCACGUCUUGACGGUACCUAAUCAGAAAGCCACGGCUAACUACGUG
This 497-nucleotide ribosomal RNA is filed under the name uncultured bacterium. Its description in RNAcentral is "partial 16S ribosomal RNA". It matches the Rfam family "Bacterial small subunit ribosomal RNA", at positions 28 to 507 of the family's 1533-position model. The record is from RNAcentral.